UACGUAGGGUGCAAGCGUUGUCCGGAAUUAUUGGGCGUAAAGAGCUCGUAGGCGGUUUGUUGCGUCGGCUGUGAAAUCCCGAGGCUCAACCUCGGGUCUGCAGUCGAUACGAGCAAACUAGAGUGUUGCAGGGGAGACUGGAAUUCCUGGUGUAGCGGUGAAAUGCGCAGAUAUCAGGAGGAACACCGGUGGCGAAGGCGGGUCUCUGGGCAGUAACUGACGCUGAGGCGCGAAAGCUAGGGGAGCAAACGGG
This 253-nucleotide ribosomal RNA is filed under the name uncultured bacterium. Its description in RNAcentral is "partial 16S ribosomal RNA". It matches the Rfam family "Bacterial small subunit ribosomal RNA", at positions 524 to 776 of the family's 1533-position model. The record is from RNAcentral.